ACAGUUGUUUAGCAUCUCUGCUGCUGAGCUUUGAAAGUUUCGAAAAGCUUUUGCUUAAAUGGAGGAACCUGCUUCUAAUGAGGCUCAAAUGCCUGCGAAUGAUGAUUUGAUAUACUAGGGUGGUGGAGAAUAAAUGGGCUCAAGUAUCCUACUUUGGCAUCAAUUGCAAAUGAUGUGCUUGCAAUCCCUACUUCCACAAUAGCUUCGGAGUCUUGUUUUAGCACAAGUGGGAGAGUGAUUGACUCGUUUCGAAGCUCAUUGUCUCCUAGGAUGGUUGAGGCUUUGAUUUGCUCUCAAAAUUGGAUAAGGUCCGAAGAUAUAUCUUCAUUGCAAUAUGUGCCAAGCAUUGAGGAGAUGGAGUUCUAUUAAGCAAUUGAAAUGGAAAUGGGGAGUAAAACAUCCACAACAAAUUUGAAUAAGACUCCCCCUUCUUAGUGUGAUGAAGAUAUGUUGGAAGGUUGCUUUGUUAAGGCUUUUGGAAGAAUGGAGGCAGCUGAUUUUUUGCAAGGAUAUUAUCUUUAGACUUUAUGUGUAUUUUUGUGAUGGGUUGUAAUAUUUCAUAAGUUUCAUUUGGAUUGCUUGCUUUAUUUGUAAGUUAUUUUUUGUAAUGGUUUGUAAGUUUCAUUUUGUAAUUGCUUGCUUUUAUACAUUGAAUUUGCAUGCUUGGAAAGAUGGAUUUUUAUA
This is a non-coding RNA of Prunus avium (sweet cherry), 684 nucleotides long. NCBI's taxonomy places the organism in Eukaryota, Viridiplantae, Streptophyta, Magnoliopsida, Rosales, Rosaceae. The record is from RefSeq and is a predicted model, not a curated record.